Molecule: ribosomal RNA, 253 nt
Filed under: uncultured bacterium
Lineage: Bacteria
Description: partial 16S ribosomal RNA
Rfam family: Bacterial small subunit ribosomal RNA
Source: RNAcentral
UACAGAGGUCCCAAGCGUUAUUCGGAUUCACUGGGCGUAAAGGGUGCGCAGGCGGCCAAGUGUGUGAGGCGCGAAAGCCUGGAGCUUAACUCCAGAAUUGCACCUCAAACUACUUGGCUAGAGCAUUGGAGAGGGUAGCAGAAUUCAUGGUGUAGCAGUGAAAUGCGUAGAUAUCAUGAGGAAUACCAGAGGCGAAGGCGGCUACCUGGACAAUUGCUGACGCUCAGGCACGAAAGCGUGGGGAGCAAAAGGG